Molecule: ribosomal RNA, 468 nt
Filed under: uncultured bacterium
Lineage: Bacteria
Description: partial 16S ribosomal RNA
Rfam family: Bacterial small subunit ribosomal RNA
Source: RNAcentral
GACGAACGCUGGCGGCGUGCUUAACACAUGCAAGUCGAACGGAAAGGCCCGGCUUUUGGGGGGUGCUCGAGUGGCGAACGGGUGAGUAACACGUGAGUAACCUGCCCUUGACUGUGGGAUAACUUCAGGAAACUGGGGCUAAUACCGGAUAGGAGCUCCUGCUGCAGGGUGGGGGUGGGAAAGUUUCGGCGGUUGGGGAUGGACUCGCGGCUUAUCAGCUUGUUGGUGGGGUAGUGGCUUACCAAGGCUUUGACGGGUAGCCGGCCUGAGAGGGUGGCCGGCCACAUUGGGACUGAGAUACGGCCCAGCCUCGUACGGGAGGCAGCAGUGGGGAAUAUUGCACAAUGGGCGGAAGCCUGAUGCAGCACCGCCGCGUGCGGGAUGACGGCCUUCGGGUUGUAAACCGCUUUCGCCUGUGACGAAGCGUGAGUGACGGUAAUGGGUAAAGAAGCACCGGCUAACUACGUG